UACGAAGGGGGCUAGCGUUGCUCGGAAUCACUGGGCGUAAAGGGUGCGUAGGCGGGUCUUUAAGUCAGGGGGGAAAUCCUGGAGCUCAACUCCAGAACUGCCUUUGAUACUGAAGAUCUUGAGUCCGGGAGGGGUGAGUGGAACUGCGAGUGUAGAGGUGAAAUUCGUAGAUAUUCGCAAGAACACCAGUGGCGAAGGCGGCUCACUGGCCCGGUACUGACGCUGAGGCACGAAAGCGUGGGGAGCAAACAGG
Molecule: ribosomal RNA, 253 nt
Filed under: uncultured bacterium
Lineage: Bacteria
Description: partial 16S ribosomal RNA
Rfam family: Bacterial small subunit ribosomal RNA
Source: RNAcentral